GUUUGACCUCGGAUCAGGUAGGAGUACCCGCUGAACUU
RNAcentral lists this ribosomal RNA (38 nucleotides) under Aphanoascus verrucosus. RNAcentral describes it as "partial 28S ribosomal RNA". The record is from RNAcentral. Lineage: Eukaryota; Fungi; Ascomycota; Eurotiomycetes; Onygenales; Onygenaceae.